This 505-nucleotide ribosomal RNA is filed under the name uncultured bacterium. Its description in RNAcentral is "bacterial SSU rRNA". It matches the Rfam family "Bacterial small subunit ribosomal RNA", at positions 32 to 506 of the family's 1533-position model. The record is from RNAcentral.
AAUCAACGCUGGCGGCGUGCCUCAGACAUGCAAGUCGAACGCGAAAUUUCCCUUCGGGGAGAAAGUAGAGUGGCGCACGGGUGAGUAACACGUAGGUAAUUUGCCUUUGGGUGGGGAAUAACUCAGGGAAACUUGAGCUAAUACCGCAUAAUGCAGCGGCUCGACAUCGAGACAGUUGUUAAAGCGGGGGAUUGGAGCAAUCCGACCUCGCGCCUAAAGAGAAGCCUGCGGCAGAUUAGCUAGUUGGUAAGGUAAUGGCUUACCAAGGCGACGAUCUGUAACCGGCCUGAGAGGGCGGUCGGUCACACUGACACUGACAUACGGGCCAGACUCCUACGGGAGGCAGCAGUCGGGAAUUUUGGGCAAUGGGCGCAAGCCUGACCCAGCAACGCCGCGUGAAGGAUGAAAUUUUUCGGAAUGUAAACUUCGCAAGAACAGGAAGAAUAAGUGUGGGACAAUACCCCACAUGAUGACGGUACUGUUUGUAAGCUCCGGCUAACUCCGU